This 270-nucleotide ribosomal RNA is filed under the name uncultured bacterium. RNAcentral describes it as "partial 16S ribosomal RNA". It matches the Rfam family "Bacterial small subunit ribosomal RNA", at positions 501 to 770 of the family's 1533-position model. The record is from RNAcentral.
CUACGUGCCAGCAGCCGCGGUAAUACGUAGGGGGCAAGCGUUAUCCGGAUUUACUGGGUGUAAAGGGAGCGUAGACGGCGAAGCAAGUCUGGUGUGAAAACCCGGGGCUCAACCCCGGGCCUGCAUUGGAAACUGUUUUGCUUGAGUGCCGGAGAGGUAAGCGGAAUUCCUAGUGUAGCGGUGAAAUGCGUAGAUAUUAGGAGGAACACCAGUGGCGAAGGCGGCUUACUGGACGGCAACUGACGUUGAGGCUCGAAAGCGUGGGGAGCA